GCCUACUAACGGAAGAGCUACUG
RNAcentral lists this non-coding RNA (23 nucleotides) under Cricetulus griseus (Chinese hamster). Lineage: Eukaryota; Metazoa; Chordata; Mammalia; Rodentia; Cricetidae. The record is from RNAcentral.